This 1343-nucleotide ribosomal RNA is filed under the name uncultured bacterium. Its description in RNAcentral is "16S ribosomal RNA". It matches the Rfam family "Bacterial small subunit ribosomal RNA", at positions 28 to 1378 of the family's 1533-position model. The record is from RNAcentral.
GACGAACGCUGGCGGCGUGCUUAACACAUGCAAGUCGAACGGAAAGGCCCUGCUUUUGUGGGGUGCUCGAGUGGCGAACGGGUGAGUAACACGUGAGUAACCUGCCCUUGACUUUGGGAUAACUUCAGGAAACUGGGGCUAAUACCGGAUAGGAGCUCCUGCUGCAUGGUGGGGGUUGGAAAGUUUCGGCGGUUGGGGAUGGACUCGCGGCUUAUCAGCUUGUUGGUGGGGUAGUGGCUUACCAAGGCUUUGACGGGUAGCCGGCCUGAGAGGGUGACCGGCCACAUUGGGACUGAGAUACGGCCCAGACUCCUACGGGAGGCAGCAGUGGGGAAUAUUGCACAAUGGGCGGAAGCCUGAUGCAGCAACGCCGCGUGCGGGAUGACGGCCUUCGGGUUGUAAACCGCUUUCGCCUGUGACGAAGCGUGAGUGACGGUAAUGGGUAAAGAGGCACCGGCUAACUACGUGCCAGCAGCCGCGGUGAUACGUAGGGUGCGAGCGUUGUCCGGAUUUAUUGGGCGUAAAGGGCUCGUAGGUGGUUGAUCGCGUCGGAAGUGUAAUCUUGGGGCUUAACCCUGAGCGUGCUUUCGAUACGGGUUGACUUGAGGAAGGUAGGGGAGAAUGGAAUUCCUGGUGGAGCGGUGGAAUGCGCAGAUAUCAGGAGGAACACCAGUGGCGAAGGCGGUUCUCUGGGCCUUUCCUGACGCUGAGGAGCGAAAGCGUGGGGAGCGAACAGGCUUAGAUACCCUGGUAGUCCACGCUGUAAACGGUGGGUACUAGGUGUGGGGUCCAUUCCACGGGUUCCGUGCCGUAGCUAACGCUUUAAGUACCCCGCCUGGGGAGUACGGCCGCAAGGCUAAAACUCAAAGGAAUUGACGGGGCCCCGCACGAGCGGCGGAGCAUGCGGAUUAAUUCGAUGCAACGCGUAGAACCUUGCCUGGGUUUGACAUGGAUCGGGAGCGCUCAGAGAUGGGUGUGCCUCUUUUGGGGUCGGUUCACAGGUGGUGCAUGGCUGUCGUCAGCUCGUGUCGUGAGAUGUUGGGUUAAGUCCCGCAACGAGCGCAACCCUUGUUCACUGUUGCCAGCACGUUAUGGUGGGGACUCAGUGGAGACCGCCGGGGUCAACUCGGAGGAAGGUGGGGAUGACGUCAAGUCAUCAUGCCCCUUAUGUCCAGGGCUUCACGCAUGCUACAAUGGCUGGUACAGAGAGUGGCGAGCCUGUGAGGGUGAGCGAAUCUCGGAAAGCCGGUCUCAGUUCGGAUUGGGGUCUGCAACUCGACCUCAUGAAGUCGGAGUCGCUAGUAAUCGCAGAUCAGCAACGCUGCGGUGAAUACGUUCCCGGG